RNAcentral lists this ribosomal RNA (253 nucleotides) under uncultured bacterium. RNAcentral's name for it is "partial 16S ribosomal RNA". It matches the Rfam family "Bacterial small subunit ribosomal RNA", at positions 524 to 776 of the family's 1533-position model. The record is from RNAcentral.
UACGAAGGGGGCUAGCGUUGCUCGGAAUCACUGGGCGUAAAGCGCACGUAGGCGGCUUUCUAAGUCAGGGGUGAAAUCCCGGGGCUCAACCUCGGAACUGCCUUUGAUACUGCAAAUCUCGAGUCCGGAAGAGGUGAGUGGAAUUCCUAGUGUAGAGGUGAAAUUCGUAGAUAUUAGGAAGAACACCAGUGGCGAAGGCGGCUCACUGGUCCGGUACUGACGCUGAGGUGCGAAAGCGUGGGGAGCAAACAGG